Molecule: ribosomal RNA, 463 nt
Filed under: uncultured Gammaproteobacteria bacterium
Lineage: Bacteria; Pseudomonadati; Pseudomonadota; Gammaproteobacteria
Description: bacterial SSU rRNA
Rfam family: Bacterial small subunit ribosomal RNA
Source: RNAcentral
UCAGGCCUAACACAUGCAAGUCGAGCGGUAACAGGGGUAGCUUGCUACCCGCUGACGAGCGGCGGACGGGUGAGUAAUGCUUAGGAAUCUGCCUGGUAGAGGGGGAUAGCCCGGGGAAACCCGGAUUAAUACCGCAUACGCCCUACGGGGGAAAGCAGGGGAUCUUCGGACCUUGCGCUAUUAGAUGAGCCUAAGUCGGAUUAGCUAGUUGGUGGGGUAAAGGCCUACCAAGGCGACGAUCCGUAGCUGGUCUGAGAGGAUGAUCAGCCACAUCGGGACUGAGACACGGCCCGAACUCCUACGGGAGGCAGCAGUGGGGAAUAUUGGACAAUGGGGGAAACCCUGAUCCAGCCAUGCCGCGUGUGUGAAGAAGGCUUUCGGGUUGUAAAGCACUUUCAGUGAGGAGGAAGGCCUUGUCGCUAAUAUCGGCAAGGAUUGACGUUACUCACACAAGAAGCACCGG